RNAcentral lists this ribosomal RNA (261 nucleotides) under uncultured bacterium. Its description in RNAcentral is "partial 16S ribosomal RNA". It matches the Rfam family "Bacterial small subunit ribosomal RNA", at positions 1240 to 1500 of the family's 1533-position model. The record is from RNAcentral.
CAAAGAGAAGCGAAGCGGUGACGUGGAGCAAACCUCAGAAAGCCAAUCUCAGUUCGGAUUGUAGGCUGCAACUCGCCUACAUGAAGUUGGAAUCGCUAGUAAUCGCGAAUCAGAAUGUCGCGGUGAAUACGUUCCCGGGUCUUGUACACACCGCCCGUCACACCACGAGAGUUUACAACACCCGAAGUCAGUGGCCUAACCGCAAGGAGGGAGCUGCCUAAGGUGGGGUAGAUGAUUGGGGUGAAGUCGUAACAAGGUAGC